Long non-coding RNA from Poecilia latipinna (sailfin molly), 2475 nucleotides. RefSeq lists it as uncharacterized. The record is from RefSeq and is a predicted model, not a curated record. The transcript has 4 exons. Lineage: Eukaryota; Metazoa; Chordata; Actinopteri; Cyprinodontiformes; Poeciliidae.
CCUGCAGUCUUCUCGUUUAAUUGUCCUUCACUGACUCCUUUCCUGACACUUCCUGUUUCCCUUCAGCUUAAUAUCCUGCUUGCCCUUGGCAUUUUCUUCUGUUUCCUCUGAAACAAACCUUCACAACUGCCCUUAUGUUGGCUUUGGAAACAAGAAGGAUGAAGCCAUAUUUCCACAGCUGCAACUGUGUAAGAUUCUGCCAGUUGUCAACCCAUGCAGACGACAUCCCUAAGCAUGUUGUUUAGAGUUUCCAAAAACCAGGAGAGAGACACGGUAUUCCCAGCUGCACAAGCAAAGAAAUCAAGGCAUUUUUUUGAACAUGUAGACGCUCACAAACUGCAUGCUGCGGGGGACAACAAAGAUGUGGGAAGUGACAAGGUCGUAAUGGGAACCUGAGGGCCUCGCUGCAUAUGUCAGCCGUACACAUGCUGUCAAGAUCAACAACAUCAUUUGCAGGGAAAGAGGCGCAGGCAAAUACAAGAUGGAAAUGGGUCACUUUUGGUAUAUAUAUAUGCGGUAAAAGCUACCCUCUAUGUGUUCAGAUGACAGACUGAGGGGUGAGACAUCUGAUUCCGGGUUUAUCCAUUCCUUUCAUACACAACCUCUACAGCGUUUCUUUUUCCCUCUGGUAGAACUCUCUUUUCAGGCACCACUAGCCACUUAAGAGAUGUAAAUCUUUGAGGAGUGGGUUGCAAUAAAUUGUAAGCUUUAGCAUCUCUGAAAACUUACUCCACUUUAAAUCGGACAGCAAAAAUAGAAGGUGAGUUCCUUCCCUUUGGGGCAUCAGAAAAUGUUUGCAUAUGUUUUGAUGUGUGUAAAUGUGCUUUGCUAUUUAUUCAUGUCUUGAUGUAUGCACAUGUUUUGCAGCAACUGAUUCAUAACCCCAGUUUUUAACUCUCUUGCUGGGACCAAGAUGAGGCAGUGCAGAUGGCAGUGCGUGUGCAGCAAAUCCAAACCAUUUAAAUGUUUAAGAGCAGUGCUGGCAGUGCAACGGCAUAUAAAACAAAAAGCCUGUGGAAUGUUAAUUGAAAGGAAAAACCACAAAGUGCAAAGUGGGUUUGCUUUAGCUCAUUUUAAAAACAGGACCUCACAGCAGCGAGUGAUCACAGUACACAAACUGUCUGUGAAAUGAAAAUAAGUAAACAGAAAAACACCAAAUCAAAUACAAAAACUGACAUAACAAGGUUGCAUUGUUUCCACGAAAACGUGGGUAGUAUUAUACAUUUGACUGUUUUGAAUGCCUUUGUUUUAUGUUCUUAAAACACUAAGGUUGUAAGAAUUCAUUUUAAUUCCUUGACAAACAAACAAAAAAAUAAAAAUAAACAAAAGAAAAGAUACUAAAAUGCCAACUCUGUCAAUUUUGACCUGUUCAGUCAGUAGGGAAGUACUAUUCUUAGUGCAGUGACUCUGCCGUCCACCAGGGGCAGACUUACAAAAGUGUAGCCUCCAGUCUAUUGACUGCCUGUACCAUGAUGACACGAACACCCUGCUCUAUUCUUAUUUUUUAAUGCCACAUGUAAUUAUGUCCAGGAAUAUUAUUUACAGUUUUAGUUCAGUUUUCAGUUUGAAUCCAUGUCCAUGUUUUCACCUUUCUGGCAACAAAUUUUAGUCCAAACCAGCUUUUAACACAAACUAGCCAACAAUAAAAUCUCAAUUUUUAGCACAGUUUCCUCAUAACAUAACCAAGGCACAUCCAUGGUUCUUUGGGUUUGUUAGAAAACACUCUGAAGAUGGUGUUGCUUAGUUUUUCACCAAUGAUUGAGUCUUCUGACAGUCAUUACAAUCGUCUGUAUCUGCACUGUAAUCAUCCACUUGCUUGUCGUCUUUCAGAUUCUCUUGAAUAUAAAACCCUGGGUUGGUAAUAAUGUAAGGGAUUGUCCAUAUUAAAAGACUGUCCUCUUCAUAAACCUUUAAUCCGACUUGUAUUUUGAGAUUCGACAGCUUUUGGCUCUUACUUUCUGGAUCUUAAGGACUUGUCUGACUUUUUGUAGAACUUUUGAUCUCUCACUGGCACUGGCACAUGCUGCGUGAGGCUGGCCCCAUGGAUGCUCUGGAUGUGUCCUUUUCAGUUGCAUCUUUCAUGAUAAACAAGCUCCUUGUUGACUGUUCGUGUAGCGGCUGAUUUAAUAUCCAUGUGUUGUGUCAGGGAAGGGCUGCUCUGAGGAGGAGCCAACUGCCCCCCUUUGAAAUGAUAAUGGGCCCAUGUGGCAUGACAGAUGCAGGUGAAGAGGGAGGGAAGGCUGCAGAGAUGGAUACUUGGAUGCACAAAGAUAUGAAGAAAGUGAAUGUGAUUGAUGGUAAAUAGUAGAGUGUGUGUUAUUUUAACACAGUGUUCAUAAAGAUAUUGCAAUGAAAAGAGAAAGUGGUCAAACAAAGAAACUUUGAAUACAUCAGCCAUCAUGGACUGAAUGUGAUUAUCAACAUAAAUCAGAUGCUGUAAAAUUCAGAAAGAGUGUGAAUAAAAGUUUCACAAAC